CCACACAGCACAAACCGUUGUUAAAUCACCUGCUGCAUUGAACGUUACUCACCGGAGCUCUGUGAUUCAGCAGGUCAGGUCAGCUGGCGACUGUCAAACUCCUCCUCCUAGUGCCACUGCCACCGCCGCAACUCAGCAGAGUCAGCAGCCAGCCAUCCAGCGGCAAGUUUUCGGGCAAGCUAUUAAACCAAGGCUCAGGAAAAGCCCGAAAAUGAGUCAGUGGAAGGAACGCUUCGUGACUGUGCUCCAUGAGAAAAACUUUGUGACAGAUCAGUUGGCGACGCUGGAACAAAAAACGGGAGUAAAGAGAGAGUAUAUCGCCUUUGGUGUUAUGAGUUUGGUCGGGCUUUAUCUUCUUUUUGGAUAUGGAGCCUCACUGCUCUGCAACCUGAUUGGCUUUGCCUAUCCAGCAUAUUUCUCUAUCAAGGCCAUUGAGAGCAGUGCGAAGGAGGAUGAUACACAGUGGCUGACCUACUGGGUUGUUUAUGGACUCUUCAGCAUCGCCGAGGCCUUUUCUGACAUCUUCCUCUUCUGGUUCCCCUUUUACUAUAUUGGCAAGUGUUUGUUCCUGAUAUGGUGCAUGGCUCCAGUGACGUGGAACGGCUCCGCGGUCUUGUACAACCGUGUGAUCCGGCCAUUUUUCUUGAAGCACCAGGCUACCAUGGACAGUGUGGUCAGCGAUCUGAGCGCCAGGGCUAAGAACAUAACUGAGACCGUGACAAAGGAGGGUGAGAUACCCACAGUAUACAUCUGUUAACCGGGCCCUCAACCAUGACAAGGACCAGUGAGAAACACGGGAAGGCUUUGUGUGUGUGUCUGCGUGUGUGUGUGUGUGUGUGUGCACGCAUGUUUGUUUGGCUGGUUGAAAGACAAUUAUAUUGAUCAACCCCCGUGUCAUACGGUGAACUGAAGCUUUACACUUGUUAAAAUAAAUAAUAGCAUGUUUGUGCGUUAUCAGUUUACUGCCAUUGGUACUGCUAAGACAAUCGGAGAAGCUGUGACCUUUUAUGUGAUGUUCUUUGUUGUAGUGUGAAAGAUAUUCAUUCAUAGCAAAGUUUAUGAUUGUAUGCCUUCAGGUUUCAGCAACACUGGUGGUGCAGUCAAUAUUAUUGUCCAAUUGAGCCAUUUGUGCCAGAGAACGGAGGCUGACAACAUUACGGUUAAAAGAAGUUGUCUUCAAAUGUUUUCACAAACGGCAUUUUCUAACAUUGUUAAUCUUAACUGGAACUUGUACAUGUCAUUAAUGUGUUCUUGCUGUUAAAUGCCUCACUAUUUAUGUGCCAAGCAACAUUUAAAGUCUGUUUGAGCUAUUGGGAAGGUUCUCGGUCUUUCUUUCCAGGAUUCUUUCUUUCUCUGCACGUCUUCUGCCUUUUGAUAUGUCUUAAUUUAUCUUCUCACAAUGAUGACAUAAUAAAACUGGAACCUUAAUGAACUGAA
Sander lucioperca (pikeperch) is the source of this 1437-nucleotide RNA transcript. RefSeq lists it as uncharacterized. The transcript has 7 exons. The record is from RefSeq and is a predicted model, not a curated record. Lineage: Eukaryota; Metazoa; Chordata; Actinopteri; Perciformes; Percidae.